Molecule: non-coding RNA, 281 nt
Organism: Myripristis murdjan (pinecone soldierfish)
Lineage: Eukaryota; Metazoa; Chordata; Actinopteri; Holocentriformes; Holocentridae
Source: Ensembl
AGCUUUGUGACACUGCCCCUUGCAAGGAGGAUUGCUUGUGUGGCCCAACAAGGCUGCGGAGAACAACACAAGGAAUGAAAAGGCGUGACUUCUGGAGGAUCAGGAGUUUCAUGUGCGAUGUUCCUUGGAUAGACUUUGAGAAAGGCCUGCUUUCCACGGUGGUGAGGCUCUCCUCCUGUAGCCCUCACCUUUCUUGAGGCAGGUAAAGCAAAACCUGGCAGCCAGAUAUUGUUUGCAACAGGGAAAGCUAUUCCUGUCAGACACUUACAGCUGUCACAUAA